GGGGAAUUGUUCGCAAUGGGCGCAAGCCUGACGACGCAACGCCGCGUGGUGGACGAAGAUCUUCGGGUCGUAAACUCCUUUCGAUCGAGAAGAAUGCCUUUGGGUUUAAUACGCCCGAAGGGUGACGGUAUCGAGAGAAGAAGCCCCGGCUAACCCCGUGCCAGCAGCCGCGGUAACACGGGGGGAGCAAGCGUUGUUCGGAAUCACUGGGCGUAAAGGGCGUGUAGGCGGUCAAGUAAGUGGAAUGUGAAAUGCCCCGGCUUACCCGGGGACCUGCAUCCCAAACUGCUUGGCUUGAGUAUGAGAGAGGAUGAGGGAAUUCCUGGUGUAGCGGUGAAAUGCGUAGAUAUCAGGAGGAACACCGGUGGCGAAAGCGCUCAUCUGGCCCAAUACUGACGCUGAGGCGCGAAAGCUAGGGGAGCAAAC
RNAcentral lists this ribosomal RNA (426 nucleotides) under uncultured bacterium. RNAcentral's name for it is "bacterial SSU rRNA". It matches the Rfam family "Bacterial small subunit ribosomal RNA", at positions 356 to 773 of the family's 1533-position model. The record is from RNAcentral.